RNAcentral lists this ribosomal RNA (215 nucleotides) under uncultured Rhodococcus sp. Its description in RNAcentral is "partial 16S ribosomal RNA". It matches the Rfam family "Bacterial small subunit ribosomal RNA", at positions 955 to 1171 of the family's 1533-position model. Lineage: Bacteria; Bacillati; Actinomycetota; Actinomycetes; Mycobacteriales; Nocardiaceae. The record is from RNAcentral.
UGCAACGCGAAGAACCUUACCUGGGUUUGACAUGCACCAGAUCGCCUCAGAGAUGGGGUUUCCCUUGUGGCUGGUGUGCAGGUGGUGCAUGGCUGUCGUCAGCUCGUGCCGUGAGAUGUUGGGUUAAGUCCCGCAACGAGCGCAACCCUUAUCCUGUGUUGCCAGCACGUGAUGGUGGGGACUCGCAGGAGACUGCCGGGGUCAACUCGGAGGAA